Molecule: non-coding RNA, 20093 nt
Organism: Rattus norvegicus (Norway rat)
Lineage: Eukaryota; Metazoa; Chordata; Mammalia; Rodentia; Muridae
Source: RefSeq, a predicted model, not a curated record
GGGUGGGAACCAAGAAAAGUAUCUGGCAAGAUGGGACCUGAUAGGCUCUCACGGGAGGGUGAGUCAUGUCGGGGCAAUAUGAAAGGUGUCAGGGUAUGCAGGAGCUGGCAGUGUGGGUGGCUGUGGAAGGCUGCUGAGCUGCCCAGAUUCACAGGGGACACAGCCCAGAGUUAGGAAGAUUCAGUACUCUGUGGCUGUGCGACCUCCGGUGAGCGUUUUACUUCUCCGUACCUCAGUUUUCCCAUCUGCACUAUCAGGUUAACCCCACAUCCCCUACAACCAUGCUACUUUACCUCUGAGCACUAACCGGUUUUCUCAUGCUUUAUUGGAGCUGGGUAAUUCUUACAUCCAGUCCAUUCAACAAUGUGCAGUUCUCUCCUGUUGGAGGUGAUGUGGAGUGGGGGACGGGACGUCUAUGGAGAACUUGCUCUGAGGCAUUUAACUUUUUAAAGCUCCAUGCAAACUUAUUUUAUAGCUGGGAAAAUUAAGGCCUUGCAGGAACCUGCUAGCCAGUUCUACAGUGGAAGCUGGCUUCAGACCCCAUCUGUCUGGCUGUCCCCAGAGUCUAUCUGUUGCCCACAUAAUUUCCACAGCAGGUAAACACCAAGGGUUUAAAUGGGGGCAUGUUUUCUACUGAAAGGAGGAAAAGAAGAAUAAAGGAGAUAAAUCCUGAGCUGCACCCCAGUGUCUGACUUCUGGCAGGGAACCUGUGGAACCUGACUUACUGUAUGUGAAUAGACAGCAUCUGUUAUGAAAAGGCGGUGGGGUAUCCCUUGCCUUGCCCUUGAAUCAUGGUGACAAGGACAGGAAUGUUAUAAGACACCUUUACUUGACCCUUGAGUCUCCUUUUUUUAAUGUUAUAUAACAUUUCUUAUACUCAUAGCAUUAGCAUGUGGGAUGCUAACACAUGCUCACCUUUCAUCCCAGCACUGUGGAAGCACAGGCAGGCCAGUAUCUGUGCAUUUGAAGGAAGGCUUAGACAUAGCGAGUUACGGGUCAGGCAGAAAUUAACCUCAAAGAAUGACUUAGAAAGGUAGCAGGUUUUUUUUUUAAAUUUUUAAGAUUUAUUCAUUUAUUAUAUAUAAGCACACUGUAGCUGUCUUCAGACACACCAGAAGAGGGCAUUAGAUUCCAUUACAGAUGGUUGUGAGCCACCAUGUGGUUGCUGGGAAUUGAACUCAGGACCUCUGGAAGAGCAGUCAGUGCUCUUAACCACUGAGCCAUCUCUCCAGCCCCAGGUAGCAGGUUUUGAUGAUUUCAAAUCCCUCCAGAUAAAGUGAUAUAAACAAAGGAACACACUGAGACCUUACACCUGUGAGAUUUCUAAGGUUUUAAGUGUAUGGAACACAUACGCACAUUCUGAGCUGUCCAGUGUGUCUGGGCCAAUGGAGAAAAGAAAGGGGGUGUUCCAGGGUUAUCUAAAUCACUGUAGGUUAUAGCAUUGAAGGAAACUCUUUUUUUAGGUAGGCAGCAUAAUCUUUUUUUUAUUUUAUUUGUGUAUAUGUGUGUGUGUGUGUGUGUGUGUGUGUCUGUGUCUAUGUCUGUGUGUGUGUGUGUGUGUACACUACAGGUUGAUAUCAGGUGUCUUCCUCAACUGCUUCUCUACCUUAUUUCUCUGAGACAGGGUCUCUCACUGAACCUGGAGCUCGGUGAUUAAACUAAUUGGCCAGCAAAUCCCAGGCAUCCCCCUGUCUCUGUCUCCCUAGUGCUGAGAUUACAGGUAACAUGAUCUUCAUAUAGAAACCUGAGGCACACAGCAAACCAAGAAACAAACAAGAAGAACAAAGUGGAAAGAGAAGUUGAGAGACAUCGCAGACCAGCCUCCCCACGUUCUCCGUGAAAUGUCAGUCUACACGAGACCGAGGCCAGAUGUGGUGGCUUACAGCUUUGAUGCCAGCACGUGGGAGACUGAAACAGGGGGACUGAGGUUUGAGUUCACCCUGAGUGACAGAGAGAGACUCUGACAAUGUAUAUAUUUUAUAUUUUCAUCUGGUAUAAAACUAUUGGGGAAAGUGAUGAGGAAGGACCAAGCCAAGUUGAAGGCUAAGUUAUACUUGCAACCAGGGCAGGCAAGUGAGAACAGUAAAAUGGAGAAAAAGGAAAAGAACACACACACACACACACACACACACACACACACACACACACCACACACACACACACACAACACACACACCACACACACCACACAACACACAUACCACACACACACAUACCACACACACACAUACCACACACACACACAUACCACACACACACCACACACACACACCACACACACACAUACCACACACACACAUACACACAUACAACACACACAUACCACACGCGCACACACACACACACACAUACACCACACACAUAACACACACACACACACCACACAACACACAUACCACACACACACACCACACACACACAUACCACACACACACAUACCACACACACACCACACACACACCACACACACACACCACACACACACAUACACACCACACACACACAUACCACACACACACACACACACAUACACCACACACAUAACACACACACACACACACACACACACACACACACGUGCGCGAGAGCGCAAAAAUCAGUCCACAAACAGCAAAUUAAACACACAACAGAGUCUCAACCUCACUAGUGGCCAGCGAAAUGCAAAUCAAAGCGCCAGAGGGAUGUGCUGUCCAUCGGGUAGAGGGAAAUCUGUCGGCUGUGGGCUGUGUGGAGAAGCACAGCUUUUAUAUACAGCGUUUAUAUUGCCAGCCGCAAUGCUGGAACUUAUGCACCUAAUAUUAGUAAUAGGGAGGUGGGGUAGAAGGACUGAAGGCUAAGCCUGGGCUGGAUGAGAGAGAGAGAGAGAGAGAGAGAGAGAGAGAGAGAGAGAGAGAGAGAGAGAGAGACCCUGUCUCAAAAUAAAACAAAACAAAAACAAAAACAAAAAACCCCACAACAAAGCAACAACAAACUUAAAAACAACAAAACAAAGAAUGCAGAUGUCAGUAUAGACAGACAAGACACAGAUGUUGUAGCAGGCAUUUUGGAGAUUGAUAUGGCAGUAGCUGAUGAAAAGUUUUUUUGGCAAACUUUCAGAUAACUCGUAGACCAUUUGUUAGGAAAAUAUAGGAAAAGCUGCAAUCUACAACAACAAGAGAAACCCCAAUAAGAACAGACAGCUCCUGGUGGGGACUGAACGUCCAACGCAGGAAAGAGAAGAGGCUGCUCAGGGAGGAUUCGGAGAAAGGACCAAGAUACCACAGGCGUGGGGGCAGGUGGCCCAGCUCACUGCAGUGGAGAAGUUUCUCGAGGUAAAAUUUGCAAACCACCUAAAUCCAGCUGAACUGUCGAGAAAUGAUUUAAAUAACUGGCGGAGUGUUCAAGGCUGAGCCAAAGGUAAGUAUGGUACUGUUCUAAGCGGAUAAAGAGGCGUCAGAAUAAAAGUAUCUCAAGAUGAAAUUACUUUGUGGGCGUACUCUAAUGCUUGUGUUUUAGUUGUCAAUGCUUGGCUUCGGGCUGGGACAAGGAAUGGAGGUGCACAUUUUAAGUGUCAAAGCAGAUCUGGCCUACAGCUGCUCUCAGCACUUCUUAGUCCCUCAUGGCAUACCCUGGGCCCAACCUUGAACUUUCCAGCCCAAGGGGCUGGGCUGACUUCCUCCAGAGGCUCCCCCUUAUAUGAUCCAGACAUUUUGGGCCCCCUUCUCUCCCUCUCUCUCUGCACCCUUUCUCUCUUCUUCUCUCCCCUCCCUUCCUCCCCAUGGUGAUUCCCCUGGCCUCAAUCUUUGGGCUUUGUGAACUCACUGGAGAACAGCUUCCCAAUAAACCUGUAAUAUAAUCCAACCUGGCUUGAAUUGGCUCGUUUUACUGGCAGAGAAAUAACCUAUCGGUCAUAUUUAAAUAAAAGCUUACCAGAUAGCUCUUUUUAAUGGUGUCCUGGGAUUUUCUUUAAAUUUGAUUGAUUUUAUAACGGAAGUUUUUUUUUUUUAUCAAGACACACCUAUUUACUGAGUGAUCAAAUUUUGGCUUAAGGCAUGGGUCUGCACCAGGCCCUCAGCGUAUAGUAUGGCCCUUAACUUGGUGGGUUUUUGUGGGACUCCUAACAGUGGGAGCAGGUGUGUCUCUGACUCUUUUGCCUGCUCACGGGAUGCUUUCUUCCUGUUGGGUUGCCUUGCCCUGCCUGGAUGUGAGGGCUUUUGGCCUCUUCUUAUUGUAUCUUGCUUUGUCAUGUUGCUGUUGCUUCUUGGAGGUCUGUUCUUUUGAAGGGAAAUGGGUCAGGAGGAGUGGAUCUGAGGGAGCUGGGAGGUAGGGAGAAGCUGGGAGGAGUGGCCAGAGAGGGAACUGGUUGGAAUGUAUUGUAUGAAAGAAGAAUCUAUUUUUAAUAAUAAUAUAAUUUUAAUAAAAUCAUAACAAUGACUAUUACCAAUGAGGGAAAAUGAAUAAUUCCAAUAGUCCAUUAAUAAUUCACUGGGGUUGGCACUCCCUGUGAUGCAAGAGAAAUUCUCUGAACACUUCGAACUCUUUGGGGGCCAUCGAAAAGCAAAAAAGAAAAUCAAAGAGGGAAAGAAUCAUAUAUAAAUAUAGUCAGUGGAUGAAGCAAGACAAGUUCCAGUAACUUUACACAUACAUAUACAUACAUACAUACAUACAUACAUACAUACAUACAUACAUAAUACAUGUGCAGGUAGGCAUACACAUUCAUGCAUUGGGUGGACAGAGCAAAGCUCCAAACAACUUUACAUAUAUACACACAUACAUAUAUUUUUGGCAAACUCCAAUGAGCAGGCUCCAACAAACUUUACACACACACACACACACACACACACACACACACACACACACACACACUGGAUGGAGCAAACUCCAAGUUGACUCUUAAAAACUGAAACUUUUUCUACCUUUUCUACCUAUAUACUCUUAGCCUUUUCUACCUGUAUACUCUUAGUCUUUUAUACCUAUAUACUCUUAGCCUUUUAUACCUAUAUACUCUUAGCUUUGUCUACCUAUAUACUCUUAGCUUUGUCUACCUAUAUACUCUUAGCCUUUUAUACCUACAUACUCUAAAACAGAGUUCUCUAUGUAGAAAAAAGAUUACCUCAUAGCUAUGUUACAUAUUCUCUAAAAACAAUCACCACAAAAGCAUACUUUUCAAGAACAGAUUAAAAUCAUUACACAAAGGAAAUUACAACCAAAUUAUUGAUUAUGUAUUGUUCUUGUGAAACUCACACCUAACUAAACAUCUCUCAUCUAUCUUUCUCUCUACAAGUUCAUCGUAACCCCAAAGGUUAUAAAUCUUUUGUCAUUGAUUAACAAAGGUUAAGUUAGUCACUCUAUAGUAGCAAGUUUUUUCCUGUGCUUAGCUGACGACAGUUUGUAUUUACCAAGAAACAGAUCAUCAUCUAUCUUAUGUCUUAUUUUCGAAAUCUUGUUCAGUUAAAUCAUCUAUUUUCACACUCAGAAUAGAAGUAUUUCCUUCUUACUCAUAACACUGUCUUUUUCUGGUGCACACUGAAACCUGUGGUCCCUAGAUCACAGGAUCCAGGACCUCGGGCCCAACCUAGAAUGAAUGCUUUCUUUGAUCAUUGACUUGUCCCAAGCCAAUUUUCCUUCCUAGUACAGUCAUGUGCUUGUGACCCAUGAACGCUCACUGUGCUCCUUUUUUAACCUGUGCAGCCCUCGCUACUCUGCAAGGAGGGGGCACAUUCUGCUCUUAAUUCUAUUAUGUUUCUGGCAAAACAACUUUAACUGUUUCCUUAAACUUCCUAUCAACUACCCUAACUUUCUAAAACUAUUUAAAUCAAAUCAGGAAUUCAUCCAUAAAAAUCACUAAUUCAUCUAAGUGAUAUUAUUUUAUGAAAGUUUGUCUCCAUGUUGAUCUGUAGGAAAAUUGUCUAGCAGAGUGGGCUAUCUAUCACCCAGGAGGUAAUCACACCAGGCUAUAGGCAGUGAGGGUCUCCCAUGCCCAGUCACACCAUCCUAGAUAUAUGAGGGAUGUAAUAAUGACAAACUUGAGAAGGCACAGCAGCAGCAAGAAGCAAGCCUGCCACGAAGCCCCUAGGGCUGCGCCUCUCCAGGGUAGACCGGUUGUAGCUGUGCAAACCCAGGGUUAUCUCCAAAAAGCUCACCCGUUGACCCUGACUGGCCUGGCGCUCCCUAUGACAGACAGGCCCAAUUCAUGGAAGAGCUGGGGUUAAAGGUGCUCUCUGAGGAAUCUGAUGCAACGAUGAAGAAUGAGGAAGCUGACUCCUGAGGGUGAAUGUCCUGCAGGACAGGGUAGAUGAUCCAGUUAAAGCCCUGUAGAUAUAAAACUACACGCAAGGGCUGGGGCGAUCACUCCGGGUGAAGUGCUGAGUUUGGAUCCCCACACCAGUACAAAAGCAGGGUGUGGUGAUGUGUGUCUGUACCCCAGCUCAGGAAGCAGGGCAGGGGGACAAGCAGAUUCCACGAGACAGCAAGUCUAGCUGAAACCGAGCUCCAGGUUCAGUGAGAGAUCCCACUGAAAAAAUAAGUUGGAGAAGAAUAGUGAUCAUGGGUCUCUGGCCUCUAUAUGGACACAAAUGGGGCAUGCAUGCAAAUAAAUUCACAGGCACACGCACAUGCACACACUCACACACGAGCACGUUCACUCGCUACACCUCAAACAAACAGCAUACAGCUGAGCCACAGUGUGUAUGGACCUUGUACUCUGACCGAGUCGUGGAGUCGGAACGGAACUAAAAAAAAAAAAAAAGUGACAGUGUAACUGAGAAAGUUCCCGUCCCGCCGUGUCUGGUGGCAUAGGCAUCCGUGAGGCCGUGAGACCGUGUUUGAAGAUAAAGACAGGCUGGGAUGCCCUUCAGUGAGGGAGGUUCAGCCUCACCACCACAAUAAAGAGGGGGGGGAGGGAAGGAAGGAGGGGAGGGCCUAGUUCUGGGGCUGUGAGAGGGCCAAUACUCUGAGACAAAGUGGUGGAGAAGGAAGCUGAUCUCGAGGCUGGCGUGGUCGGAGGGAGAGCAGCUCACACCUGUGACUCUUUUGCUUCGCUGAGAGUACGGCACAUCUUGAGAACUGUUAUCAUCCCAAUUCUUUAAAGGAGCUAUUUUCAUUUCUUUAAAUUAUGUGGAUGGCUGUAGGUUCAUGUGCGGGUUUUUGCAGGCAGUGCAAGCACCCACAGAGGCCAGGGGUGCUGGAUCCCCUGGGGCUGGAGCCAUAAGCAGCCAUCCAUCCGAUGUGGGUGCUGGGAAUCUAACUUGAGUUUUCUGCAAGAACAAUAGAUGCUCUGAUUGCUGGGCUCUCUCUCCCGCUGGUCAUAGCAUGUUUCGUUACCUCAGCUUCAGGCAGCUGGGUACCAGGGUAGUUCAUUAGCCUUGAAAACUAACCAAUUCUGAUAUACGGGCUGUGAGCCUUUGAUAUCUGUCUGGAGGUGACUGAGUCAUGUUGCCCCUGUGAGUCUUAGCGAUUGUUCUAAGCUUGGCUUCUGAAGGUGUGAGGUCUGGUGUGCAGCUAACCUUUUCUUUGUGAUUUUUUUCUACAGCCUGAGAAGGAGCACCACACAGGAAAGGGGAUUAUUUGAAGUGGACAGCAAAAGAAAUCCAGGCCAUCAACACCUUUGGUGAAAAGAAAUACUAGGACUUCGGUCUUGGGCCCAGGCCCACUGCUGACAGCAUGAUGGAAGGAUGCACUUGCGGUCUAGACUCCCCCUCCCGCCUCCUGGAGUGGGGGUGAGGCGGCGUGGGCAACGGUUGGGAAGCUGUCUGGAGGCCUCUUGCAGAGACAUCAGAAUGCUUUGUUAGAACAAGCGCUGGGGAUCCAUCCUGUGGCUCACCCUAUCAAGCUGAAACCGGAUGUUGCUGCCAAGUUCUUUGGAAGGCUAAACAUUGUUGCCCUUGAACAUCUGCGUCUGCAAAAAGUUCUAGAUGUCAACCUUGUGACUAUACUAAUAAAAUCCUUGAAAGGUGAACAGAGGACAAACUGUACCAAGCCUCUGGUCCAAUGGCAUCCUGGAGUGGAGGGGGCUGCUCUGUGCGUCCUGGAGGUCUCACCCUAACAUGCGUCAGGGCAGAGGAAGUCUUGAGAACCUUGUGGACUUAUCUGUGGCAUCUUGAGGUAAGCAGUUCUGACCGUGGGGACAGAGUGGCAGUUUUCCCAGCUUGCUCAGAAAUGCAAGCACACACAGGUUCUUGGAUAAAUGGCUGAAGUGAGGUGUUCUUCUGAGAAUCGGGGGCUGCUCUUUGUUUCUCAAAUGAACACGCACAGACAGGUGGGCAGGGAGAGCAGCUUCAAAACACAGCAUGGACCUGGGUUUCAGUCCUGUCUCAGGAGAAGUAUUGUUUCUUUUCGCUACAGACUAGGAACUAAAUGAAGGUUUUAUACGCAGGGUCAUACAGGACGCCGGACACCGGACACUUAUAAAAACUUACAAGUGUUAGCAAAUGUUCUGGGUCAUUCAGAGACUCACCAGUAUAUUAAUAAAUUUUAACAGAGAAGAGGCUUUUCAUUCAAACACCGGUACCGUUCUACACUGGAGAACAGAGACUCAGGAUUCCAGAAUGCAGCCCCCAGCCACUUCAGUGAGGGGUUUGUAAAGGCAAAGAAUACAAAGUUACAGUUUGCUCUGGUUCAGCAAAAACAGUCCUCUUUACAGAACCAGAAACAGCCAUAAAAAAUGUAACCUUAACAGCUCUUAAUGUUUGGAGGUCUAGAUGGGCUUUAUGGUUCUGUUAAGCACAGAGAUGUUAAGUUUUUAAACAUAAAGUUAGCCAUUGAUGUGACUUUAGCCACCGUUGAGUUAUACCCUGAGUCAAAUCCUUGACUCUGCAUUGGGUACCUUUUCAUAUUGGGACUUAUUUACUAUCAUCUUAAUAGCUCAUAAGCAGGAUUUAUAGAUCUGGUCUUAACCUUGGCCUUAGUUAGUGUUAAUGAUGCAGGGUCAACUAUAAUCAGCAGGCACCCAAGGAAGAACAUGGGAGCCAUUUAUUUCCUCUCUGUGAGGUGUUUUCAAAGUUCAGCCAAAUUAUCCUUGAUACUCCUGAGUGGUUUGCCUAGAAGCAGAUGGCUACAGUAACCUCCUUGCCCUGUGUAAAGCAGAUCAAGUCCCUACCAUGUUGGAAGACUACCUCAGCCAAGAGUCAAGGUGUUCUUUUAAUUUUGCAAUGGACUUUUCUCAGGCAAAAAACAUCUGGGUUAUUUGAGGCCCUAAGUUUUUGUAGUUGACAUUAGUUGUGCUGUGCCUGUUGUCCUGAGCGUGGCUCAAGCCAUUCCCAAUCCUAAAUUUACUAUGGGGGAUGUAAGGGCCGGUGCCUGUGCAUACAUGUGUUUUCUCCCUACUGGACCAUUAUAAAGGCACAUGCAGGGAACAGGGUUAUCAAGACACAGAUUUUCAGGGAUUAGUGCACCUGCCAAAUAGGUAAGCAAGGUGCCAAGGGUUAGCACAUGUGAAACAAUGUUUCAACUGGGAGGUGAAGGAAGGAACAUUCACCUGAAGAAGUGAUGGCUGGGAACUGUGAGACAUCUGUGACAAGUUUGUAUCUGCUCUUAAGGGGGAUAUAGAAAUACAUCCCACAAAAGAGCAGGAGUUAAAUAUAGUCACAUAAAACAGUAGUAGUCUAUAAUUGUGUCCAGUUUAUCUUUGGUGGAUCCUCUCGGGCAUUGUGACAGUUCAUUUUUCUGCAGCCAGGUCAUUGUGGCCUGUGUUGUGCUUGACCUGCCAAUAAUAUACCCAGCUGUAGAUAGAUGCCAUCUUCCUUAGCAGCCAUGGGGGUGGUCAGGAUGACAAAGCAUGAUCCCUUCCAACAAGGUCCCAGAUCCUUCAGACCUAACAUGCCAGCUUUUUGUUAAGGGGGGAUGUGCUUACUUCUGUAACUGCUUCUCACUGAGAUUAAGACACCCUCGUAAGAACCCAUGAAGGCUGGAAAGCCAAAGGCCCAGGGGUGGGGCUCAGAUUGGGGGGCUGGAGGCAUUCACCAUAAGCAUCUGUUUUGCUGAUCCAGCUGAAGAGACAAGGAGCAAUUGUAUUGGCUGGUCUGAUUAUAGGGUUGCACAUCUGUGAUCUUAGCAUUCUGGAGGCAGAGGCAGGAGGAUCUCCAUUUGGAGGACAUCCUGGGCUAUAUAGACUCUCAUGCAUCUAUAAAGAAACUUUUGUUGUUCCUGUCUUGGGGCUGAAUUAAAGCCACUGAGUACAAACCCCGCUGUUGUACUGUGGCUGCACCUGAGGAAGUCCUCUUGAAUCUUAACGUUAACAUAUUAAAUACCCAAACCUUAUAUUAUGACCAAGUGAUAAGAGGGAGGAGAGGGGUUGGGGAUUUAGCUCAGUGGUAGAGCACUUGCCUAGCAAACGCAAGGCCCUGGGUUCGGUCCCCAGCUCUGAAAAAAAGAAAAAGGAAAAAAAAAAAAAGAGAGAGAGAGAGAGGGGAGAAACUGACCACAGAAAACACAUCUGAGAUCUGGUUGAGCCUUGGGUCCCUUCAAAAUGGCUGCCUAGCAUAUGACAGACAGGUCCAGACUACCACUGGAGGCAGCAGAGAGCCUCUUGGUCUUCCUCCCAAAUCUGUUUUGCCAGACAAUGGCAUCUCCCAUGGUUGGUCUUAAGCAUUGUCCUCUCAAAUGCUGAAUCCCAGGAGGUGGCAUCUCCAAAGAUGGAGCCAAGAAAGUGUCAUCUCUAAUGGUGGGUCUCAGAUGGUGGUACCAUCAGUGAUGGAGCCCAGGUGGUGAAUGUUGAGGCCCAGACCACAGCAAGCGAGGGGCGUUGCCUCUUGUGAUGGUGGGAUGCAGGGAAUGGUACAUGUAAUAGUGUGUGGAGAAUGUGGAGACACAGGUAAUAAAAUCUUUAAUGUUGGGAUAGUAACCUCUGUCCUAGUUAGGACUACCAUGGCUGUGAAGAAACAUUAUGACCAAAAGCGAAUUAGGGAGGAAAGGGUUUAUAUGGCUUGCAUAUACAGACAGAGUCAUAGAGGGAAGGCAAGGCAGGAUCUCAAACUGGGUGGGAACUUGGAGGCGGGAGCUGAUGCAGAGGCCAUGGAGGGUGCUGCUUACUGGCUUUCUUUCCUAGCCUGCUCAGGUGCUUUCUUAUAGACCCCAGGACCAGCAGCCCAGCAGGAAAUGGGCCAGGCCCUCCCACAUUAAUCACUAACUAAUAAAAUGCCCUACAUCCCAAUCUUAUGGAGUUAUUUUUUCAAUUGAGGCUCCCUCCUUUCAGAUGACUCUAGAUUGUGUCAAGUUGACAUAAAAAUAGCAAGGACAGGGCUGGAGGGUUGGCUCAAGGGUAAAGACCUCUUCCAGAAGUCCUGAGCUCAAGUCCCAUCACUACAUGGUGGCUCACACUUAUCUAUACUGUAAUCUGAUGCCCUCUUCUGGCAUGCAGGUGUACAUGUAGAUAACGCAGUCAUAUACAUUAAAAAGAAGAAGAAACUGGGACAGCUGUCCAGUGAGAUGUCAUCUCCAAUGGUGUGACUCAGGUGGUGUCUCUCCUCUUAUCUUGCUAGCUUUGUAUAUAUAUAGAUAUAUAUACAUGACCCCAUGCGUGGCUCUGCCUCCAUACAGCUUUCUCCACACUCAUAGCUGUGUCGGUGGCAUCCUGCAUGUCUGUUUUCUGUGUGCUUAACAUUUUAUUUGUUUUCCCGUGUCUGUCUGAGUCUCUCUGCUUUUAUGGGCAUUGUUGGCGAAUCCCAUGCAGGAGAAGCUAGAGUGAGCAAGUGAGCUUCUAGGGUGACAACCCGCUCUCCCGGGCCACUUUCUGUAGAGCAGUAUGAAGAUGGAACUAUUAUAAAACAAUACUGUUUAGAAGAAUUCAUGAAUUUUACAGAAUUCCUGAUUUGAUUUAAAUAAUUAUAGGAAGCUAGGGUAGUUGAUAGAGAGUUUAAGGAGAUGGUUAAAGUCGUUUUUGCCAGAAACAUAUAAUAACUUUAGAAUUAAGAGUAGAAUGUGCCCCCUCCUUGUAGAAUAGUGAGGGCUACAGAGGUUAGAAAAGUACAGUGAGGGGUUGGGGAUUUAGCUCAGCGGUAGAGUGCUUGCCUAGGAAGCGCAAGGCCCUGGGUUCGGUCCCCAGCUCCGAAAAAAAGAAAAGAAAAAAAAAAAAGAAAAGUACAGUGAGCGUUCAUGGGUUAAAAAAAAAAAAAAGAAAAGUACAGUGAGCGUUCAUGGGUUACAAGCACGUAACUGCACUAGGAAGAAAAAUCGGCUUGGGACAAGUCAAUGAUCAAAGAAAACAUUCAUUCUAGGUUGGGUCCAAGUUCCUGAAUUUUGUGAACUAGAGAAGUAGUCACAGGCUUUGAUGUACACCCUGAAAAGGCAAGGUUAUAAAUAAAGAGUAAUUAUGAAUAGAGAAUAGAGAAUAGAUUAUUGCCUAAUGUAGCUGAACAAGACUUCAAAAGCAAGAUGUAAGAUAAAUGAUCUGUUUCUUGGUAAAUACAAAUUGUAGUCAGCUAAGCAUAGGAAAAAACUUGCCAUUCUAGACUUGGCUUGCUUAAACUUUGUUAAUCAAUGACAAAAGAUUCAUUGCCUUGGGGUUAUGGUGAACUUGAGGAGAGAAAGAGAGAUGGGAAAUGUUUAGCCAAGUAUGAGUUUUACAGUAAUAAUAAUAAUAACAAUAAUAAUCAAUAAUCCUGUUGUGAUUUCCUUUUGUGUAAUGAUUUUAACCUGUUAUUGAAGAAUAUGUUUUGUUUUUGGGAUUUACUUAUUGUAUGUAUGUGAGUACACUGACACUGUCUUCAGGCACACCAGAAGAGAGCACUGUAUUCCAUUUCCGACAGUUGUGAGCCCCCAAUGUGGUUGCUGGGAUUUGAACUCAGGACCUCUGGAAGAGCAGUCAGUGCCCUCAACCACUGAGCCAUCUCUCCAGCCCCCAGAGAAUUUGUUUUUGUGGUGAUUGUUUUUAGAGAAUAUGUAACUUGUGGCUAUGACAUAAUCUCUUCUUACAUAGAGAACUCUGUCUUAGAAUGAAAAGGCUAAGAGGAAAAAAAAAAUAAAAUCGUUGGAGCCUGCUCGUUGAAGUUUGCUCAAUCCACCAAAUAUGUGUAUGUACACAAAUGUAUACAAAAUGGUUGGCCUUAGUGCCAGUGGAAUGUUAAUGAAACCCAAAAGACCAGACAGGAGCCAAUCACCACACCAGGCUCUUUAUUCGAGCUAGUUCUUGCCCCUCAGCCCACUGCUAACAAGCAGGAUGAUUUUGGUUGAGAGGAGCCCCAAACAUCUAUCAAGCAUGAGUGUGUGUGUGUGUGUGUGUGUGUGUGUGUGUGUGUGUGUGUGUGUGUGUGCACUCUCGUGCACUCGCGCACCUAAUUGGAGAGCUCCUGUGACCUUAGCAUAACUGGUUGGUGCUGUGAGUCAAACCAUAAACUUAACUUCUGCUUCCCUCUGCAUUGGUGAUUGUUAGGCAGGGGCAGGCUUGUUGGAAAUUAACCUGGAAAUGUUGGAUUUGUUAGGGGUUAGCCUAGAAACUGGAGUUGGGCUCUGGUUUUGUUGGGGGAUAACUUAGAAACUAAUGCGAGGUACCGGCCUGUUAGUUUACCUGAGUUCAAGUUCUCUAAAAUGGAGUCUGAACCUAAAGGAUUUGGUCUCUCAGGAGCUUGUUCAUUGGAGCUUUGCUCCAUCUCUCAAAUGCAUGUAUGUGUGUGUGUAUGUAACAUGGUCAGAGCUUUGUUCCAUCUACCAAAUACAUGUAUGUGCAUGUAUAUAACAUGCUUGGAGCUUUGUUCCAUCUAUCCAAUGUGCGUAUGCAUGUAUGUAUGUAUAUAUAUGUAUGUAUGUAUGUAUGCAUGUAUGUAUGCAUGUUGUAUUUAUGCAUGUGUGAAGUUGUUGGAGCUUGUUGAAGCUUGCUCCAUCUAGCCACUGUGUAUGUGUAUGUGUAUGCGUAUGCGUAUGCCUGUGUGUGUGCAUGUGCAUGUGUGUAUGAUUCUUUCUCUCCUUGAUUUUUUUUUCCUUCUCUCAGAUCCCGAAGAAUUCAAAGAGUUUUCCGCUGGUUACAGGGAGUGUUGGUGCCUAUGAAUCAAGCUUUACUCCCUCAGGAAAAGGUCUGCUGAAUGUUCAGUCUCUGGCUUUACACCUAGCCUCAGCUUCCCUCGACCUGUCAAAGCUGGCUUCGACACAUUGUUCUGUUGCUUCCCAUUCAUUACUGCUUAUCUCUCUUUCUCUGUGUUCCUCAUUUCUAUUUCUCCUGUUCCAGUUACGUCUCAUCCCCUGUUUCUGUCUUUGCCUCCCAUUGGUUGUCUCUGUCCUGCCUUUGCAUCCAUUGGCUUCUAAAGUAGGCAUUCCAUCAUUUUCAUAUAUCGUUAUUAGUAUUGCAUGCACGCCAUGGUGCACCUGUGGAGGGUGAGGACAGUAUUCAGGGCUUGUUUCUGUUCCCCCACCAUGGGACCUGGGGCUCACACUCACAAUAUCCGCUCAUGGGGCAAAAGCUCUCACCCGCUGAGCCGCCUUGCCAGCCCCCAUUGGUCUCUUAACUGGUACUCAUUCUUACAGCCCUUCCACUGAGACAAGCCAAACACUGCAUGGUUUGGACUUCCUCCUGCACACCUCCCACCUAUGAUUUUGGAGGAAUCGUCCUGGCAGCACUCUGUCCACACACUGUACGUACUCUCUUCGGAUAACUUGGGAUCUGGUUGUCCUUGCUCUGCACAUUAUGAUCUGCAGUCAUUAAAUCUGUGAGAGUCACCUCCUUGAUAGCUCAAAACCAGCCUGUCCAAUGACCGGACCCCGGCAGUCAGCGUCCUCUUUUGAAUACUCUUUCUUUUGGUUUCUAUGCUGUGGCAUACCCACAGUUCUCUGACCCUCUGCUUUCCUGCUCCUUGGACAUGGACACAAGGCUUCCAUGCUGAGAAGUAGUGUGUGAUAAAAUACAGCCGAGAAUGCAGCCCAGCCUGAGCAGGGGUCUCGCCUGUGUGGUGACAGAGAACACACAGGACAGCUAACCACAGGAGUGGGCCUGGGCUGACAGAUAGGUGGAGUGUCAUUAGGUAACCAUGGGGCUUUGUAAAAAGUAUUUUUGAAAUUUGAUUUAUUUAUUUUUUUUUUUCGGAGCUGGGGACCGAACCCAGGGCCUUGCGCUUGCUAGACAAGUGCUCUACCAUUGAGCUAAAUCCCCAACCCCGAAAUUUGAUUUAUUUUUAUUUUGUGUGUAUGUGUAUUCACCUGAAUGCAUGCCUGUACACCACAUUUGUGCAAUGCCUGUAGAGGCCAGAAGAGGGUGUCAGAUACCCUGGGCUGUACCCUUGUUAGCAGUGCUCUUAACCUCUGAGCCAUCUCUCAACCCAACAAACAUACAUUUAAAAGUGUCUUAGCAUUUUCGUUUUGCCUUUAAGAUAUAGAGUGGUUUUGCAUGCAACAAUCAGAGGUGCUAGGGGCUGGAGAGAUGGCUCAGUGGUUAAGAGCAUUGACUGCUCUUCCAAAGGUCCAGAGUUCAAUUCCCAGCAACCACAUGAUGGCUCACAACCAUCUGUAAUGGGAUCUGAUGCCCUCUUCUGGUGUAUCUGAGGAUAGCGACAGUGUACUCACAUACAAAAUAAAUAAAUAAAUAAAUAAAUAAAUAAAUAAAUAAAUAAAUAAAUAAAUAUUUUUAAAAAGAAGUGGUAGGAACAGGAUUUGGAAAUGUCUAGGAGCAUCUGCAAACUAAAGUGCCCAGCGUAAAACAUCAAAUCACUUCGUUGGCCCAUUUCACAAACAUACUUGCUGUCGUUUGACGACGGGCAGGGCCAAGAACUGUAUGCUGAGGCAGUCCAUUCAAAGAGCCCUCCCUUUGCUAAAAACUGUUCACAUUCUUGAUGCCACGGUGCUCAGACACUCUCCUGCCAACAAUUCCCAUUGUAAAUCUAGCCACAUUCCUCUAGGGAAGGUGCUUUUUCUUUAAUAACAUCAACCCAAAAUCUAUCAAUGCUAGUUGAGUUCCAGGGGCAGGUAAGAGCUCUGUUUAUCUCUGUAUAUCGCAAAAGCCUCUAAGAAGACAAUUCAUUUCUGUGGUCACCCGUUAGUCAUCCUAAGAUAUCUGAUAGACGCUUCCCAUUGAAUUCGAAAUGGACACCCUUAAAAUGUGUUCUUUGUAUUCAAGUAGCAGAUAUAAUACUCAGCCUUCUAUUUUAUUUUAUUUGUUUGUUUAUUUUUAGAUAGGGUCUCACAAUAUAGUCACAACUGACCUCAGACUUCCUACAUAAACCAGGCUGGCCUCAACUUCAGAUAUCCACCAGCUUCUGACUCCCGAGUGUUAGGAUUAAAGGUGUGUGCCACGAUGACUGGCCAGAGCAAUUCUUUUUUUUUUUUUUUUUUUUUUUUGGUUCUUUUCUUCGGAGCUGGGGACCGAACCCAGGGCCUUGCACUUCCUAGGCAAGUGCUCUACCACUGAGCUAAAUCCCCAACCCCCAGAGCAAUUCUUAAUGGAAAAUAAUCCUAUACUUAGAAAAAAAUCCUUGAGAAAGGUAUGGUGGUGUACACUUUUAAUCCCAGCACUUGGAAGGCAGAGGCAGGCAGAUCACUGAGUUUGCAGCCAGCCUGGUCUACAGAGCAAAAAAAAGAGGCCAUGUUUCCCCAUUACACUUAAAGGCAAUUGAGACAAGCAGAUAGUUGCAGUUAAACUAUACUAUUUUCAGUUAACAAGUGCUAUUUCCAAAAUACUGUUGCAUGCACACACACAUUUACACACAUGACAGAUAUUCAAACAUCCACUCACUCACUGACACGUGAGCACAUACAUGCAUACAGCGUGCACAUGCAUACACAGAGGGUAGAAAUGUGGCUGUCAGGGAAUAAAUAGUCAAGACCAGGGUGGGCAAAUGAGUUGAGCAGGGACCUUCCUGAAGGCUUGUCUUACUGAUUGAGCAGUAAUCAUUCCCUGACAUCUUUUCCAUAACAAGAAACUCUGAACUUUUAAAGUAACAAAAUGGUAGUGAAUAAGACAACCUUAGUAUAUUGGUAUCUUUCUAUUAGACAAGUUGGUCAGAACCUAUUUUAACACAUUUAUCUAUUUGGUUUUUUUUUUUUUUUUUUUUGGUUCUUUUUUUUUGGAGCUGGGGACCGAACCCAGGGCCUUGCGCUUCCUAGGCAAGCACUCUACCACUGAGCUAAAUCCCCAGCCCCUAUCUAUUUGUUAUGUGGUGCUUUAUGUUGUGUGUAAUUUUAAAAAUAUGUUUGCUCUUUCUUGAGAGCUCUGCCCGAGCUCCCUGCUUGAGUCCCCACGGUUAGCUUCACCAAGCCACCUGGCCUCACUCAGCUCCACCCAGCUGCCAGCUGGCGCUUUUCCCAAGAAUGCCCAUGGAACUGCGAUUGCCCCCUCAACCCCUCACAGCAAGCUCCACCAAGCCACCACACCCACCCUGACUGUGCCUUUUCUUCUGCCCAACUUAGUCGCCUCCGAUGGAAAACACCGGACAACCUUAAUUUUUUAAAACCAGUCAGAUACCUCAAUGGCUGGGCAAAGAAUUUAUUGCCCUAACUGGAUCAACUAGCUAUUCUAGCCCUCCGCUAGCAUGUUCAGCUCCCCAAGAUCUUACAUGGCGGUUGCAUCCUCCCAUUCCAAAAGCCUGCUCUCUCCCUCACUGUGUCCCCUCCUCUUUUUCCUGGGACCUGAAAAUCCCACCUUUCCCCCUUCACCCAACGAUUGACUUCCUCACCAUCUUUAUUGACACAGUCAAGAAUCAAUUAGAGAAACAAUACCCCCACCUACAGUUUAAAUAUGCUUGGCCCAAGGGAAGUGGCACUUGUUGCAGUAAAUAUUCUUUAACGGUUUCUACUUCACCUUAGAUCAUUUAGUUCCCAAAUAAAAGACACAGAACCUUUAUAUUUAUAAUAAGUCUUAAAGCAUUGGAGCUGGGCAGGUAUCAAUUCUCUAUGCUACUUUGUCUACUUCCCUGUCACUAACCUGGGAUUUAACACUUGCUGUGUUCCUCCUAGGCCACUUGUAUUCCAAAGGGCUGGCCUUCAUGGCCAUGAGCUCAGGAUCCACCUGCCCCCAGGGCUCCUUCCUCCUCCUCCUUCUCCCUCAUGGCAUUGUCUCUUCUUAGAGCUCCAGGCCUGGGAACUGAAACCCCGCCUACCUUUCUUUGCCCCACUACAGGCUGUAGGCAUCGUUUUAUUAACCAAUAGUUUUAAAUCAAGGAACAAGGUUUGCACAACAAAAGCUGGCAUAGGUGAGAGUUCACUCUUCCUGAGGGAACUAGACCUCAGGAUACAGAAUUUAGUAACAACACAGCAACAGAUACUACUGGCUGGUAAGGCCUUAUCGGAGGAGGUGUGGCCUUGUUAGAGGAAGUGCAUCACUGUGGAGGUGGGGCUUAGAGGUCUCAAAUACAUGAUCAAGUCUGACCAGUGGACUCAGAGGCUCCUCCCGGCUGCCUGUGGAAGACAGUCCUCUUCUGCUAUCUUCAGAUCAAGACUUUGAACUCUCAGCUCCUCUAGUACCAUGCCUGCCUGCCUGCUGCCAUGCUUCCCACCGUGAUGAUAAUGGACUGAACCUCUGCAGCUGUAAGCCAGCCCCAGUUAAAUGUUGUCCUUUGUAAGAGUUGGCUUGGGGCUGGAGAGAUGGUUCAGCAGUUAAGAGCACCAUAUGCUCUUCCAGAGGUCCUGAGUUCAAUUCAUGGUGAUCACAACCAUCUAUAAUGGGAUCUGGUGCCCUCUUCUGGUAUGUUGGAAGCGUACUCAUCAUAUAUAAUAUAAAAUAAACUAAAAAAAAUAAAAAUAAAAAAGAGUUGGCUUGGUCAUGGUGUCUCCUCGCAGCAGUGAAACUCCAACUAAGACAUGUUAUAAUAGUUAAAUAAUUAUUUGGAACAUAAUUUGAAAGACUAGUUUGUUGUUUUAGUCUCUCUCUCUCUCUCGCUCUCGCUCUUGCUCUCUCUUUCUCUGUGUUUGUGUGUCUGUGUCCUUUGUCUUCUUGUGUGUGCAGGGUGUUGGUAUCAGGAACUGCUUUUCCCUCCAGCAGUGACAGCACCUGUGCAUCGGUUGCCAUGGCAAUAGCCAUACAUUCCCAGCAUACAUUUGGUUCAGUUCGUACCUUCAUCUGGGAGCAGUUAUGUCAUGGUUCAAAUAAAAAGCAGGCCCUUUCUACCUCCUUCCUCUCUCUUUCCUCUCUUUUCUUUCUCUUCUCCCUCUCUCACCCCUCCCUGUCUCCAUCGUCACAAUAAAUCUCCUCCCUGUGGGACCAUGCUGGCCUGGUGUAGUUUGUCUAGAAGCGAGCUGUGAUUUCUAUGCCAACACAGGGUAUAGGUCAGUGCCUCUUCAUGUCGUUACUGAGGCAGGAUCUGUCACUGAACUCGAGCUCACUGAUUCGCCUAAAUUCAGGGAUUACAGACUUGGCUGUUGUGCCUGGUGUAUGUCUUGGUUAAACUUUUGUCUGUCUAACAUAUCAUUUGGGAAGAGGGAUCGCAACUGAGAAAAUACCCCAACCAAAUUACCCUGUGAACAUGUCUGUGGGACAUUUUCUUGCUUAAUGAUUAAUGAGGGAGGGUUCAGCCCAUGUGGGUGGUGCCACCCCAGGCCAGAGGUUCCUGGUGUAUUAGAAAACAAACUGGGCAUGCUUCAGGGAGUAAGCAGUAAACAGGGCUGCUCCAUGGCCUCUGCUUCAACUCUUGCCUCCAGGCUCAUGCCUUGAAUUGCUGCCUUGACUGUUUUCAAUAAUGCACUGUGGUGUGGAAGUACAGAGAUACAAACCUUCCUCUUAGGCUGCUUUUGGUUUUGGUAUUUACCUCAAUAGAAAUCCUGACGAAAACACCCAGCUUCACGGAGUUGUUACAUGGGUGCUAGGGAUGUGAAUUCAGGCCUUCACCUUUGCUUACUAAGCACUUACCAGCUAAGUCAUCUCUCAUAAGCUGUUUUAGAAUCAAAACUAUUUAGUCCUCCACGUUGAAGGUGGUAAAAAUAAGUAAUUAUCUCACCCAAAGCUUUUGUUUGAUCUUUCUUCUGUCUUUUUUCCUCUCUCUCUCUCUCUCUCUCUCUCUCUCUCUCUCUCUCUCUCUCUCGUCAAGUGUCUCAGAGGUCUGGUUCAUUUCAGCUCCUUCGCUGCCUUUUCCUUUUCUGUUUGACCAGGCUGUAAGGUGCCCGCUGCAGCAAACUUUGAACCUCACAUUAUCCUUGUUCUCCUUGAUCAUGACAGACUUAGCAUCCUUCUGCAGGCUGUGAGCAGAACGUCCUUGAUUUUCCUCAGU